This 75-nucleotide transfer RNA is filed under the name Actinomadura rudentiformis. It matches the Rfam family "tRNA". From Rfam's summary of the family: Transfer RNA (tRNA) molecules are approximately 80 nucleotides in length. Their secondary structure includes four short double-helical elements and three loops (D, anti-codon, and T loops). Further hydrogen bonds mediate the characteristic L-shaped molecular structure. tRNAs have two regions of fundamental functional importance: the anti-codon, which is responsible for specific mRNA codon recognition, and the 3' end, to which the tRNAs corresponding amino acid is attached (by aminoacyl-tRNA synthetases). tRNAs cope with the degeneracy of the genetic code in two manners: having more than one tRNA (with a specific anti-codon) for a particular amino acid; and 'wobble' base-pairing, i.e. permitting non-standard base-pairing at the 3rd anti-codon position. Lineage: Bacteria; Bacillati; Actinomycetota; Actinomycetes; Streptosporangiales; Thermomonosporaceae. RNAcentral also lists the same sequence under 13 other names. The record is from Rfam by way of RNAcentral.
CGGGCUGUAGCGCAGUUUGGCUAGCGCACCGCCUUUGGGUGGCGGGGGUCGCCGGUUCGAAUCCGGCCAGCCCGA